Molecule: non-coding RNA, 119 nt
Organism: Solanum tuberosum (potato)
Lineage: Eukaryota; Viridiplantae; Streptophyta; Magnoliopsida; Solanales; Solanaceae
Source: Rfam
AUUGCGGGGAAUGUUGUCUGGCUCGAGGAAUCAAAUUCUUUAUUACUCAUAGAUCUGUAUAUUGUUUAUAGAUCUAUAAUGUUUUUGACGUCGUCGGACCAGGCUUCAUUCCCCACAAU